GAUCCUGGCUCAGAAUCAACGCUGGCGGCGUGCCUAACACAUGCAAGUUGAACGCGAAAGGGGAGCAAUCCCUGAGUAGAGUGGCAAACGGGUGAGUAACGCGUGGGCGACCUACCUCUGAGUGGGGGAUAACCUUCCGAAAGGAGGGCUAAUACCGCAUGACAUCCCAUGUUUGGAUACAUGGACAUCAAAGCCGGGGAUCGCAAGACCUGGCGCUUGGAGAGGGGCCCGCGUCCGAUUAGCUAGUUGGGGGGGUAACGGCCCACCAAGGCUCCGAUCGGUAUCCGGCCUGAGAGGGCGGACGGACACACUGGGACUGAGACACGGCCCAGACUCCUACGGGAGGCAGCAG
RNAcentral lists this ribosomal RNA (352 nucleotides) under uncultured Acidobacteriota bacterium. Its description in RNAcentral is "bacterial SSU rRNA". It matches the Rfam family "Bacterial small subunit ribosomal RNA", at positions 15 to 354 of the family's 1533-position model. The record is from RNAcentral. Lineage: Bacteria; Pseudomonadati; Acidobacteriota.